AGCACCCUGCGGUGUGCGAGGCCGUCGGCCAGUUUUGGGCCAACAGCAAGAAAAAGGGAGCCCGGCCUCUGGGUGUGGCGUGCAGGCCCCCUCGGCGGGGAAACAUAAAGCAUCCAGGAGGGCACCCACCUGCGAGAGCGGGUCUAGAAACUACGGCGGUCAACGGCACCAGUGGGGUGCUA
This 182-nucleotide non-coding RNA is filed under the name Clostridia bacterium. RNAcentral's name for it is "6S RNA". It matches the Rfam family "6S / SsrS RNA". Rfam says of the family: E. coli 6S RNA was the first non coding RNA to be sequenced, but its function was unknown until recently. It consists of 184 nucleotides that fold into an extended hairpin structure with a large single-stranded internal bulge. The 6S RNA specifically associates with RNA polymerase holoenzyme containing the sigma70 specificity factor. The record is from RNAcentral. Lineage: Bacteria; Bacillati; Bacillota; Clostridia.